This is a long non-coding RNA of Marmota monax (woodchuck), 1323 nucleotides long. RefSeq lists it as uncharacterized. The record is from RefSeq and is a predicted model, not a curated record. The transcript has 3 exons. NCBI's taxonomy places the organism in Eukaryota, Metazoa, Chordata, Mammalia, Rodentia, Sciuridae.
AUUCCUGAGCCAUGAGCGUGGGGCUCUUUGUUUGCCCACUCCUUAUAAGGAGCGAGUUAUCAUCAGUUCUGCAGAAAGGUCACUGCUAUUUCUCUCUCCACAAGUGGCUGAAAUCAGCUUUUUUCCUCAGAGGGGUGGGGCAGUGAUUAAAAGACUAACUAUGCCAGCACUUCACAUGUCCGGCUAUGAGGAUGUUUACAGACCUUGCAACAGAGCUGGGGUUUCUGUCUGAUCCUAGGGACUCUCAGAAGACGCAUUUGGGGAGUCUCCCCUGUGCCCCAGAGGAAGGUCAGCCAAAAGUGUCAUGUCUGCAGCCUGUCGUCAGUCACAAAAGUUGGCCUGGCACCACUCCCUGCUCUUGCACAGUCUGCCACCAUGUGAUACCUUCUACCAUGCUGUGAUUUAGCCAGAAAACCCUCACCAGCAGCCAAACAAAUGGGUUCUGCUUGAUCCUGGACUUUCAGUCUCCAAAAUUUCGAAUUGAGCGAUUUCAUCUUUGAAAGAGUUAUUUGUUUACUCAAGACAAGCCAGAACUAUAUGAUUUCCAGGAAAAUGUCAUCCAAGAAUUGUGAACUUUGGAAGAAACUGAAACCACAUUUGUCUUUUAAAAGGCACUUAAUAAACUUACAAAUGAAAUGCUAAACAUUCUAUUUCACAUUAAAAUGAAAAAAUAUCCAAAAGAAGUAGCAUCCAAUUCAAUGAGGUGAACAUACAUGAUGAAGAUCAUUUGAUUCUGCUGCACUCAGGAUUUAUAUGGUUAUUUGAUAACAUUGUUUAAGAACUACUCGGUCUUAGUGCAAUCCUGUAUGUUGCUUAAAAAUAUAACUUGUAUUAUGUGAGAAAAUAAUUCAUAGCAUUACUAGGAACCAAAAAGAUCAAUCAUUAUUAAUUUUUUGAAGAUCAUAUUUUAUUAGAAAAUAGUAAAGCACGUACAGUUAUUUUUGUUGUAGAAAAGAUUCUGAAAGUUUAGAAUUUCUUAAGAAAUAAUCAAUAUUAAAACAUUUUUGUCCACACUGAUACUGCGUAUGAAAAGUGCCUUAAUUAUUAGUAAGUCAAUUUAUUAAGACACCUGUAUCUAUUUUAAAAAUUAUAAAACAAACCAUGUAUCCAUCAUGAAAAAUAAUAGCAGUAAGUCAGAGAUUUACAAUCAUGUAGAAUGUUGUUGAAACUUAUUCCAUACCAUUUUUAGAACUGCAGAAUAUUCUUAUUAUCUCUUUUUUUGCCAGAAUCGUCAUGUCAUGUAUGUAUAUUAUCCCUCUAUAAAAGAAAAAGAUGAAUGAAUAUUUGUAUGAAUACUUAAUAAAAAAUAAAUGUGGAAUUGGC